Quercus robur (English oak) is the source of this 893-nucleotide long non-coding RNA. RefSeq lists it as uncharacterized. NCBI's taxonomy places the organism in Eukaryota, Viridiplantae, Streptophyta, Magnoliopsida, Fagales, Fagaceae. The transcript has 3 exons. The record is from RefSeq and is a predicted model, not a curated record.
GCCCCUAUUCAAAAAUUUCAAAAACUCUCUUUGACUCUCUCUUCCAACCGAACAUGCCUCAAAAUCUCUCUCUCUCAUGCCUUAAAAAAAAAGCCACCAGUGAUGCUCCGGUUACCUCUCCACCGAAGAAUGAAUGUGAACCAACAGUGUUUCAGCUACCCACCCAAAUGUGAUUAGAUUUGGGCAUGCCAAAUAACAUUGUUAUUGGCUCUCACGUUUGGGUUGGAGAUCCAGAAUUAAUUUGGAUUGAUGGACAAAUAAUAAAUGUAAAUGGAGAGGAAGCUAAGAUUCAAACUGGUAAUGGGAAGACGAUACCGUUCAUUGGAUCACAUUCCAUACUUGGGAGGGCAGUUGUUGUGAAUGCUAAUCCUAAUAUGAUUUGGAAUUAUGAAAGGCCAUUGUUUUAAAGCUACGUGUAUCUCUAUUGGAUCUAGCUAACUUUUCCUUUUUGCUUGGAGAGGUGUGCGUGCAAAAGAAGGCUCAAAAAAAUUUGGAAACCAACUUUGGCAUAUUAACUACCGUUGAAAUGAAGAUACAAGUCCAGAGUACAAAACGCAAAAGAAGACUAAGUGAGAUUGAAGAAGAAACAAGGUCGUUUUGUGUAAAUGAGGACCUGAUGACACUUAGUGACACAACUGUGUUUUGCAAUCUCUUUAGUAAUUGUUUUAGUGAAACGCUUAGACAAAUUAGUUCUAAUUUCCUGUUAUGAAUUAAGUCCACGUGUUAGCUUGUAAUUAGUAGUUAGAUUAAAAUAGUUUUCCUGCCUAAUCAAGGAAGUUAGUUUUGCUUAUUUCUUUUCCAGAUUUUGUAUAUAAGGGAUUAGAUUUUUUCUAUCUAUUCUCAGUUGCUUGUAAUCACUUUUACUCAUCAAUAAGAAAACUAAGUUCUAUUUA